This 28-nucleotide small RNA is filed under the name Bombyx mori (domestic silkworm). RNAcentral's name for it is "ovarian small RNA-38452". The record is from RNAcentral. Lineage: Eukaryota; Metazoa; Arthropoda; Insecta; Lepidoptera; Bombycidae.
UUUUAGGUACUCUUCAACGACCUUGGAC